RNAcentral lists this ribosomal RNA (255 nucleotides) under uncultured bacterium. RNAcentral describes it as "partial 16S ribosomal RNA". It matches the Rfam family "Bacterial small subunit ribosomal RNA", at positions 524 to 776 of the family's 1533-position model. The record is from RNAcentral.
UACGGAGGGUGCAAGCGUUAUCCGGAUUCACUGGGUUUAAAGGGUGCGUAGGAGGGCAGGUAAGUCCGUGGUGAAAUCCUAGAGCUUAACUCUAGAACUGCCGUGGAUACUAUCUGUCUUGAAUCCCGUGGAGAUGAGCGGAAUAAUGUCAUGUAGCGGUGAAAUGCUUAGAUAUGACAUAGAACACCAAUUGCGAAAGGCAGCUCGUUACACGAAGAUUGACUCUGAGGCACGAAAGCGUGGGGAUCAAACAGG